This 1009-nucleotide long non-coding RNA is filed under the name Capsicum annuum. RNAcentral's name for it is "long non-coding RNA (CANN_LNC001323)". The record is from RNAcentral. Lineage: Eukaryota; Viridiplantae; Streptophyta; Magnoliopsida; Solanales; Solanaceae.
UUUCAACAAAUAAAGUCACCAGCAACAUCACCUUGUAAACACUAGUUCACUAUUAAAGUCACCAAAACUUAAGCUUUUUCAACUAACAAAGGCACCAACGAAAAUAAUUCACUAUUAAAGUUACCAAAACUUAAGUAUUUUCAACAAGUAAAGUCACCAACAACAUCACCUUCUAAACACUAAUUCACUAUUAAAGUUACCAAAACUUAAGUAUUUUCAACAAGUAAAGUCACCAACAACAUCACCUUCUAAACACUAAUUCACUAUUAAAGUUACCAAAACUUAAGUAUUUUCAACAAGUAAAGUCACCAACAACAUCACCUUCUAAACACUAAUUCACUAUUAAAGUUACCAAAACUUAAGUAUUUUCAACAAGUAAAGUCACCAACAACAUCACCUCGUAAACACUAGUUCACUAUUAAAGUCACCAAAACUUACGCUUAUUCAACUAACAAAGGCACCAAUGAAACUAAUUCACUAUUAAAGUCACCAAAACUUAAGCAUUUUCAACAAGUAAAGUCACCAACAACAUCACCUUCUAAACACUAAUUCACUAUUAAAGUCACCGGCACUUAAGCAUUUUCAACAAAUAAAGUAACCAACAACAUCACCUUCUAAACAAAAGUUUACUUUUAAAGUCACCGGCACUUAAGCAUUUUCAACAAAUAAAGUAACCAACCACAUCACCUUCUAAACAAAAGGUCACUACUAAAGUCACCGACACUUAAGUUUUUUCAACAAAUAAAGUCACCAACAACAUCAACUCGUAAACACUAGUUCACUAUUAAAGUCACCAAAACUUAAGUUUUUUCAACUAACAAAGGCACCAAUGAAACUAAUUCACUAUUAAAGUCACCAAAACUUAAGCAUUUUCAACAAGUAAAGUCACCAACAACAUCACUUUCUAAACAAUAAUUCACUAUUAAAGGCACCGGCACACAAGUAUUUUCAACAAAUAAAGUAACCAACAACAUCACCUUCUAAACAAAAGUUCACUUUUAAAGUUACC